UCUUUGACAACAUCAGAAAUAAAUUCAUCUGAGUUAUUCUAUUUGAACUGUAUUUUGCAGUUUAAACAAAUCUUUUUAUAGAAUCUACAUAAACAAUACAACGGGAACGGGUUUUUAAAUUAUGAUCCUCGUAUAAUCUGAGAGAACACUAACUUCAGUCAGUCGUCAGAUAUAUCAAUAUAUGUAAGACAUGAUAAUAUGCAGAAGGCCACUGGUGCCCCUAUAAUUAUAUUUCUUGCACAAAAAGGUUUUUUUCCAGAGUCGAUUUUCGCCCCUUAAAAAACUUCAGGGUAUGCAGCUGCAAUGCCCCUGCCCACGCCUAUGGGUAACAUAAAUCAAAAUUGAUGAAGAUUUGAACUUCAAAAUCUCUAUUUAUUGGUAGGUAUCUCACUAUCUCAUACCAAUUGCAUAUUUGCAUUUAUCAAUAGUGAAGAGUCAGUAAAUUACGAUUGAUUUACGAUUUACUUACACUCCUCACUUCAUAGAGUAUUUAAAUGUGAUUUUACUUUUGUUUUAUUUUUGGAAGCUUUAAGGAAAACAAUUGAAUUGUGUUACUCGUGGCAGUGGAAAAUUAACUAAAUAAUAUAUAUGAUGUACGAAAAAAAUAUCCCUAAGGAAAUCAAGUGGAUAAAAAAAUCUGACAUAAAAAUAAUUUCAUGUAUGAAGGGUUUUGACCAACAUUUUAAUGCGUUUCAGCAAAUAGUCUGUUUAGGUAUACUAUACAGACAUAUAGAUAUUGAGCAAAAUAUAAUAAAUUAUUAUGCUUUUUCAUCCUUCUAUUGUUUACUUAUGAGCUAUGACCUACCACCUACGUAUUUAGCCAUUCACAUUUCACCCAAUUUAUAUUUUGUUCCGCUUUAAUAAUUCUUAAUGAAUGGAUUUUGUUGUUAACCUGGAUUACCGCUGAUUACUCACUGAAAAACAUUAUUAUUUAUGAUCGUCGUAUAAAAUGUAUGAAAUUGUUUAACUUGCCUUAUUUAAAACCAAUGACCAAUCAAUGGCGUAGAUACAUUUUUCAUUUGGAAAGGAUACUUAUUUUAUAAUUAAUUUAUUUGAAAUUAUUAAAAAAUUUAAAAUGUAUGGUUAUAAUUAGAAUUCAUUGAUGAUUUUAUUACCUACCAGGCGCAAACGAAGGAAAAAAUUUCGCGAGUUUCUGAAAAAAUGCACAUAAUUAUCAUACUAUUAAUUUGUAGGACAGGUAAUUUAUUUUUUGUUCCUCAUAUUUCGGAGGGGGUUUAAACACCCAAAACCCCCUGCAUUCGCGCCUGUUACCUACUCAUAGUAUGUAUCAACAAUCAAUAGCUUAGGUUUUAAUAAAAAAUAAAAAUA
Long non-coding RNA from Rhopalosiphum padi (bird cherry-oat aphid), 1329 nucleotides. RefSeq lists it as uncharacterized. Lineage: Eukaryota; Metazoa; Arthropoda; Insecta; Hemiptera; Aphididae. The record is from RefSeq and is a predicted model, not a curated record. The transcript has 3 exons.